CGACCCUCGAGCCCCCUCUUCUUGCGGGUGGCUCGGUGCUGGGACGCUACAGCGCUUGCGCUGUAGGUCCCGAAAUGCAGUGGCGGCCUCGCCGAGACCCCGAACGCAGUAAACCGUGCUCUAGCACAGCGCCUCGUUCAGGGUGUCCGGCGGGUGUUUCAGCCGUUAAACCCCCCAUUUUUAAAA
RNAcentral lists this unclassified non-coding RNA (186 nucleotides) under uncultured Sordariomycetes. Its description in RNAcentral is "sequence contains ITS2". Lineage: Eukaryota; Fungi; Ascomycota; Sordariomycetes. RNAcentral also lists the same sequence under 1 other name. The record is from RNAcentral.